GCGAGCAAUACUGUGAAUGUUGAACAAACCUGCAGGUAGUUCCAUGCAGUUGGCGUAAAGGAGUCCCUCCUCCGGAGUCAUCAAUUAAGUCUUAGAUGAGCUUCAUCCGAAGGUCACAUGAUUUGGACAUUCCAGGCCAAAGACCCGAGAAAGCGCCAUGUUGGAGCGGCUGAUAGUACCGGAUCCUGGAGGUAUGGCUUCCAUGGCGAAUAGGCACCGGUCAAUUAACCGGGUUGGGC
Pelobates cultripes (western spadefoot toad) is the source of this 239-nucleotide non-coding RNA. NCBI's taxonomy places the organism in Eukaryota, Metazoa, Chordata, Amphibia, Anura, Pelobatidae. The record is from the annotation of a GenBank genome assembly.